AUUGAACGCUGGCGGCAGGCCUAACACAUGCAAGUCGAACGGUAACAGGGAUCUGCUUGCUGAUUCGCUGACGAGUGGCGGACGGGUGAGUAAUGUCUGGGAAACUGCCUGAUGGAGGGGGAUAACUACUGGAAACGGUAGCUAAUACCGCAUAACGUCGCAAGACCAAAGAGGGGGACCUUCGGGCCUCUUGCCAUCGGAUGUGCCCAGAUGGGAUUAGCUAGUAGGUGGGGUAACGGAUCACCUAGGCGACGAUCCCUAACUGGUCUGAGAGGAUGACCAGCCACACUGGAACUGAGACACGGUCCAGACUCCUACGGGAGGCAGCAGUGGGGAAUAUUGCACAAUGGGCGAAAGCCUGAUGCAGCCAUGCCGCGUGUAUGAAGAAGGCCUUCGGGUUGUAAAGUACUUUAAGCGGGGAGGAAGGGAAGAAAGUUAAUACCUUGCCUUAUUGACGUUACCAGCAGAAUAAGCACCGGCUAACUCCGUG
This 490-nucleotide ribosomal RNA is filed under the name uncultured bacterium. RNAcentral describes it as "partial 16S ribosomal RNA". It matches the Rfam family "Bacterial small subunit ribosomal RNA", at positions 30 to 507 of the family's 1533-position model. The record is from RNAcentral.